Molecule: transfer RNA, 87 nt
Filed under: Candidatus Gottesmanbacteria bacterium
Lineage: Bacteria; Candidatus Gottesmaniibacteriota
Description: tRNA-Ser
Rfam family: tRNA
About the family: Transfer RNA (tRNA) molecules are approximately 80 nucleotides in length. Their secondary structure includes four short double-helical elements and three loops (D, anti-codon, and T loops). Further hydrogen bonds mediate the characteristic L-shaped molecular structure. tRNAs have two regions of fundamental functional importance: the anti-codon, which is responsible for specific mRNA codon recognition, and the 3' end, to which the tRNAs corresponding amino acid is attached (by aminoacyl-tRNA synthetases). tRNAs cope with the degeneracy of the genetic code in two manners: having more than one tRNA (with a specific anti-codon) for a particular amino acid; and 'wobble' base-pairing, i.e. permitting non-standard base-pairing at the 3rd anti-codon position.
Source: RNAcentral
GGAAGGGUGCUAGAGAGGUUGAACAGGCUUGUCUUGAAAACAAGUGAGGGCGCAAGCUCUCCGUGGGUUCGAAUCCCACCCCUUCCG